CCCAGCCACUGCUGCUCUGGCUGCAGACACAGGCAGGCACCAUGAAGCUGUCUCUCCUGCCCUGGGCCCUGCUGCUGCUGGUGACAGCCCCCGGCCCAGGCCCCCGGCCUGCAGCAGGUGCCCAGGGGAGCUGCUCCCACCGUUGUGGAGUCCAGGAUGGGCCGUGCUCCUGCCACCCGACCUGCUUCGGCCUGGCCAGCUGCUGCUCGGACAUUCGGGACUUCUGCCUGGAGAUCUUGCCCUACUCGGGCUCCAUCAUGGGUGGCAAGGAUUUUGUGGUGCAGCAUCUCAACUGGUCCAACCCCAAUGACAGCGUGAUCUGCAGAUUUAAGGAGAGCAUCCAGACCCGUGGCUUCGUGGACUCCUCGGGACGAGUGCACUGUGUGUCACCCUUGCUCUAUGAGACCGGCCGCAUCCCCUUCACGCUCUCCAUGGACAAUGGCUGCUCCUUCCCACGCUCAGGCACCUGGCUGGCUGUGCACCCCAGCAAAGUGUCAGAGUCCGAAAAGAGCCAGCUGGUGAACGAGACCCGCUGGCAAUACUACGGCACUGCCAGCACCCAGGGUAACCUCACCCUGACCUGGAACACCUUGGCUCUGCCCACGAACUCCAUCACCAUAGAGCUGUGGGGCUACGAGGAGACAGGGAAGCCGUACUCCCAGGAGUGGACGGCAGCGUGGUCGUACCUGUACUCCUUGGCCACAAACAUCACCAACUCUGGCUCCUUCACCUUCACACCAAAACCUGCACCUCAGAACUACCAGAGGUGGAAAGUGGGUGCCCUUCGCAUUGUCAACAGCAAACACCACGCAGGGGAGAAGGACGUGCACGCACUCUGGAGCAACGAGCAUGCGCUGGCCUGGCACCUGGGCGAUGACUUCCGGGCAGACCCUGUGGCCUGGGCCCGAGCUCAGUGCCUGGCCUGGGAGGAACUGGAGGACCAGCUGCCCAACUUCCUGGAGGAGCUGCCUGACUGCCCCUGCACCCUGGCCCAGGCCCAGGCUGACUCUGGGCGCUUCCAAGCGGACUACGGCUGUGACAUCGAGCAUGGCAGCGUGUGCACCUAUCACCCAGGGGCUGUGCACUGCGUUCGCUCCGUGCAAGCCAGCCCCCUAUAUGGCUCAGGUCAGCAGUGCUGCUACACGGCGGCGGGCACACAGCUCCUGACAGCCGACUCCACCAGUGGCAGCACCCCGGACCGCGGCCACGACUGGGGCGCACCCCCAUACCGCGUGCCGCCCCGCGUGCCGGGCCUCUCCCACUGGAUCUACGAUGUCAUCAGCUUCUACUACUGCUGCCUCUGGGCGCCCGAGUGCUCCCGCUAUAUGCAGAGGCGGCCCUCCAGUGACUGCCGCAGCUACCAGCCCCCGCGCCUGGCCUCCACUUUCGGGGACCCACACUUUGUCACCUUUGAUGGCACCAACUUCACAUUCAACGGACGCGGCGAGUACGUGCUGCUGGAGGCCUCUGGGACCGACCUGAGGGUGCAGGCGCGGGCCCAGACCAGGAUGACGCCCGAGGGCUCUCAGGACCGAGGCACAGGGCUGACUGCUGUGGCUGUCCAGGAGGGCAACUCAGAUGUGGUAGAGGUCCGGCUGAGGGAUGGGGCUGGGGCCCUGCAGGUGCUGCUGAACCAGGAGGUGCUCAGCUUCAAGGAGCAAAGAUGGAUGGACCUGAAGGGCAUGUUCCUGUCAGUAGCUGCUGGGGACAGAGUAUCAGUCAUGCUGUCAUCAGGGGCCGGCCUGGAGGUCAGCGUCCAGGGUCCGUUCCUGAGUGUGGUGGUCCUGCUGCCCAAUAAGUUCUUGACCCACACACGAGGCCUCCUUGGGACACUCAAUGACAACCCCUCAGACGACUUCACCCUGCGCAGCGGCCAGGUCCUGCCCCCCAGUGCCAGUUCCCGAGAACUGUUCCAGUUUGGGGCUGACUGGGCUGUGGAGAACGCCUCCUCCCUGCUCACCUACGACUCCAAGUUCCUGGUGGAAAACUUCCUGCUCCGGCCCAAGCAUGACCCCAAUUUCCUGCCCCUCUUCCCCGAGGAGACCACCUCCAGCCCCAGCCAGGCGAGUGAGGUGGCCAAACUGUGUGGGGACAACAAUUUCUGCAACUUCGACGUGGCGGCCACCGGGAGCCUGAGUGUGGGCAACGCCACGCGGUUGGUCCACAGGCAGCACCUGCUUCGCGCGCAGAGCCUGCAGCCCGUGGUGUCCUGUGGCUGGCUGGCCCCGCCCUCCAAUGGGCACAAGGAGGGCAUGAGGUACCUGGUGGGCUCCACUGUCCACUUCCACUGCGACAGCGGCUACAGCCUGGCCGGGGCCGAGGCCAGCACCUGCCAGGCUGAUGGCACCUGGUCCCGGCCCACCCCGACUUGCCAGCCAGGACGGAGUUACGCAGUGCUGCUGGGCGUCAUCUUUGGAGGCCUGGCGGUGGUGGUUCUCGUCGCGCUCGUCUACGUGCUCCUACGCCGCAGGAAGAGCAACACAUGUGUUACCGAACCAAACGUGGGUCUGCUCGCCUUCGUGCAGUAAAGCCAACCUACUGACACCAAGUUGUGCUGAAGGAAAGUGCAGCGUUUAUUGCAAGACCAAGCAAGGAGUCCAGGAGGAAUGGCCCUGAUGCCAGCAUUGUUCGUGGCUUAGGACCUGCCAUCUCAACACCAGCAUGAGAAGACGGGGGUCCAAGACUCUCCAGGGCCCCGCUGGUGGAGGAGUCAGCUGGAGGCUUCUGAACACCCAUGAGUCCAAGGACAUGGACCCCAGGCCACAGGCACCAACGGUCCCCAAGGGUGAGGCACUCCGAGCACAGGCUGUAAAGGCUCAGGUCUGAGACGACACAGAGAAGAGGGAGGCUGUGUGACCACGGAGGCUGAAAUUGCAGGGAUGCAGCCACAGGCCUAGGAAUGCCGGCAGCCGCCAGAAGCUGGAAGAGGCAAAGAACAGAUUCUCCCCCAGGCCCCCCCGGAAGGAUUGUGGCCCUGCAGGCACCCUGAUUUUGAACUUCUGGCCUCCAGAACUAUGAGAGAAUAAAUUUCUGUUGUCUGAGCCACCAGGUUUUGGUAAUUUGUGAUACUUUGUUACGGCAGCCACAGGCAACAUCAGGCAGCCCGCAACCCCCCUGCAGGCUGCAAUAGGCUGGGCCUCAGCCCUAGCUGCACACACUGGACCGGCAGCUCACCACCUGCAGAGCCACUGCACCUGUGCCCUGGGCCGGGGUCACCUGGGGGCACUUAGUGGGUAGGUGACGGCAGACCCUUCAGCAGAGCCCAGGCGUGGGCCACACCGGAGGCCAGCUCUAGAACACACCGUCCUGGCCCACUCAGCCCCGUCUUCAGCGUCUGAGGAGGGGGCUGAGCUGGAGGAGGCAGUGGCUACCCAGAGCCUGGCUGGGCCUGGAAUUCAGUUCACGGGCACCGGACCCCCGGGCU
RNA transcript from Balaenoptera musculus (blue whale), 3424 nucleotides. It is a transcript of the gene named sushi domain containing 2, with no coding region annotated. The record is from RefSeq and is a predicted model, not a curated record. Lineage: Eukaryota; Metazoa; Chordata; Mammalia; Artiodactyla; Balaenopteridae. The transcript has 17 exons.